UGCCGAAUUGUGUAAUGGUAGCACGAUUGACUCUGACUCAAUUUGUCUGGGUUCGAAUCCUAGUUCGGCAACCA
This 74-nucleotide transfer RNA is filed under the name Bacillota bacterium. Its description in RNAcentral is "tRNA-Gln". It matches the Rfam family "tRNA". Rfam says of the family: Transfer RNA (tRNA) molecules are approximately 80 nucleotides in length. Their secondary structure includes four short double-helical elements and three loops (D, anti-codon, and T loops). Lineage: Bacteria; Bacillati; Bacillota. The record is from RNAcentral.